RNAcentral lists this ribosomal RNA (492 nucleotides) under uncultured bacterium. RNAcentral describes it as "partial 16S ribosomal RNA". It matches the Rfam family "Bacterial small subunit ribosomal RNA", at positions 29 to 507 of the family's 1533-position model. The record is from RNAcentral.
AGUGAACGCUGGCGGUAGGCCUAACACAUGCAAGUCGAACGGCAGCACAGUAAGAGCUUGCUCUUACGGGUGGCGAGUGGCGGACGGGUGAGGAAUACAUCGGAAUCUACUUUUUCGUGGGGGAUAACGUAGGGAAACUUACGCUAAUACCGCAUACGACCUACGGGUGAAAGCAGGGGAUCUUCGGACCUUGCGCGAUUGAAUGAGCCGAUGUCGGAUUAGCUAGUUGGCGGGGUAAAGGCCCACCAAGGCGACGAUCCGUAGCUGGUCUGAGAGGAUGAUCAGCCACACUGGAACUGAAGCACGGACCAGACUCCUACGGGAGGCAGCAGUGGGGAAUAUUGGACAAUGGGCGCAAGCCUGAUCCAGCCAUACCGCGUGGGUGAAGAAGGCCUUCGGGUUGUAAAGCCCUUUUGUUGGGAAAGAAAAGCAGCAGGUUAAUACCCCGCUGUUCUGACGGUACCCAAAGAAUAAGCACCGGCUAACUUCGUG